AGGGUGCGGUCGGCCAGCUCCACGUCCAUGGUCACCAGGCCCAGCGUGUGCUUCCAGCUGAGGGUCCGCAUGGCCUGUAGAGGUCUGGGCCUCCAGAACUGAAAUGAUGUAUUUGUGUCAUUUUACAACACUGUCACAGCAGCCACAAGAAGUGAACAGAUUUUGGUGCCAGGAAGGGGAACUGCUGUGACGUAGCAGCAGCAGUCCUGGAACUGAGCAACGGGCAGAAGCUUGACGAAUUUCAAGAUGACGCCGAUGAAAAGCCAGACUGCCGCGGGGAGAGCGCUGUGGAAAACAGGCGGUGGAGGUGCUCUGGGGAGGGCUCAGGCCACUCGGCGUCACACUCAGAGCAUUAGUGGAAACACGGACAUCACAGGUGAGUCUCAGGUGGAGACGACGAAGGAGUUGCUGUGAACUGGAGGAAAGUGGCAGGAAACACAGCCGAUGGCGUCACGUUGGGUGGCGAGCAGAGCUUGCGAGUGACGAGCAGAACUUGCGAGUGACGAACUUGGAUGUACAGCUGAGAUGCCCAGGCCACGUGUGGAGACGUGGCCUGGCCCCUCCCGGCUCACGGCAGGACGGGAGAGAAAGCAGCUGCCGAGCAAGGAGGAACCGAGGCUUCGUUCGGAAAAUGCUCAGCCUGUCCGGGCAGCUCUGCGGACGUGGCCAAGGGUGUGGCCAAAGAGGUGUGUGGCUGGGUCCGAGCACCUCAGAAGCCAGGAACAGGCGGGGUCUCCAGGGAAGGUCUGUGCAGGACCCUCUCACCUGACCGGGACACCCGUGAGCCGCACGGGAAGCCAAAAAGGUUUUUGAGAAUUUUAUGCCAGCAGAAACGCUGGACUGAGAGGGAGGGGGACAAGACGGAAGGAAGGAAGGGUGACUCCGAGAGCAGAGCCAUAGAAGCAGAGGCCUGGGCUGCGGGGCGGCUGCCCUGCAGGGACAGAGCCGGAGCUUGUCAUCGGGCCGCGAAUGUAACGGACGCUGGGUGGGGACCUGCCUGGAACCCGGGACCUUUUCUUCCUUUCCAGCCUCUCCCUGCUGCAGCGGAAAUGUCCAUCCCACACUCGUCUCACCGUUGCAUUUUCCCCGCCGCUCCAUUUUCGAGACGUAAUUUGUUGUCUGAUUUCACAGGUUCACAGCUGGAGAGGAGUUUUGCCCCAAGUCCCAUCCACACCUGAUUUAGAUGCCAUUUAGAUGCUGAGAUUUGGGGCCCUGUGCUGCUGAUAUUUAGAUGAGAUUUUGGACUUAGAGUUGAUGCUGAAAUGGUUAAGGCUUCGGGGGAUGCUGAGAUAGGGUGAAAGUAUUAAUAUUUCACAUGUGAGAGCAAUACGAAUUUAGGGGUGCAGGGCAGAUUGUUAUGGGUUGAAUUAUGCACCCUCCAAAAGAUAUGUUACAUUCCUACCA
Microcebus murinus (gray mouse lemur) is the source of this 1404-nucleotide non-coding RNA. Lineage: Eukaryota; Metazoa; Chordata; Mammalia; Primates; Cheirogaleidae. The record is from RefSeq and is a predicted model, not a curated record.